AGGUGCGACCAUACCAACACUAAUUCACCGGAUCCCAUUAGAAUUUCGCAGUUAAGCGUGCUUGGACGAGCACUACUAGGAUGGGUGACUUACUAUAAUGUCCUUAUGUUGCACCUC
Molecule: ribosomal RNA, 117 nt
Filed under: Trifolium pratense (red clover)
Lineage: Eukaryota; Viridiplantae; Streptophyta; Magnoliopsida; Fabales; Fabaceae
Source: RNAcentral